RNAcentral lists this ribosomal RNA (253 nucleotides) under uncultured bacterium. RNAcentral describes it as "partial 16S ribosomal RNA". It matches the Rfam family "Bacterial small subunit ribosomal RNA", at positions 524 to 776 of the family's 1533-position model. The record is from RNAcentral.
GACGAACCGUGCGAACGUUGUUCGGAAUCACUGGGCUUAAAGGGCGCGUAGGCGGGUGUGCAAGUCUGUGGUGAAAGCCUCCAGCUUAACUGGAGAAGUGCCAUGGAUACUGCACAUCUUGAGGAGGGUAGGGGCAUCUGGAACGGUCGGUGGAGCGGUGAAAUGCGUUGAUAUCGACCGGAACUCCGGGGGCGAAGGCGAGGUGCUGGACCCUUUCUGACGCUGAGGCGCGGAAGCCAGGGGAGCAAACGGG